Non-coding RNA from Pelobates cultripes (western spadefoot toad), 281 nucleotides. NCBI's taxonomy places the organism in Eukaryota, Metazoa, Chordata, Amphibia, Anura, Pelobatidae. The record is from the annotation of a GenBank genome assembly.
GCCCAGUCUUGACGUUUCAGCUUGUGUGUCUUGUUCAGUGGUGGUCGUCUUUCAGCCUUUCUUACCUUGGCCAUGUCUCUGAGUAUUGCACACCUUGUGCUUUUGGGCACUCCAGUGAUGUUGCAGCUCUGAAAUAUGGCCAAACUGGUGGCAAGUGGCAUCGUGGCAGCUGCACGCUUGACUUUUCUCAGUUCAUGGGCAGUUAUUUUGCGCCUUGGUUUUUCCACACGCUUCUUGCGACCCUGUUGACUAUUUUGAAUGAAACGCUUGAUUGUUCGAUG